RNAcentral lists this ribosomal RNA (374 nucleotides) under uncultured bacterium. Its description in RNAcentral is "bacterial SSU rRNA". It matches the Rfam family "Bacterial small subunit ribosomal RNA", at positions 30 to 406 of the family's 1533-position model. The record is from RNAcentral.
GUGAACGCUGGCGGCAGGCCUAACACAUGCAAGUCGAGCGGCAGCACGGGUAGCAAUACCUGGUGGCGAGCGGCGGACGGGUGAGGAAUACAUCGGAAUCUGCCUUGUUGUGGGGGAUAACGUAGGGAAACUUACGCUAAUACCGCAUAAGACCGAGAGGUGAAAGCGGGGGAUCGAAAGACCUCGCGCGACAAGAUGAGCCGAUGUCGGAUUAGCUAGUGGCGGGGUAAAGCCCACAAGGCGACGAUCCGUAGCUGGUCUGAGAGGAUGAUCAGCCACACUGGAACUGAGACACGGUCCAGACUCCUACGGGAGGCAGCAGUGGGGAAUAUUGGACAAUGGGCGCAAGCCUGAUCCAGCCAUGCCGCGUGGGU